GGCAACAUGGCCGAGUGGUCUAAGGCGCCAGAAUCAGGCUUAUCCAUUGGGAUAUGCUCUCAUCUGGUCACUCUGUGGCGAGGGUUCGAAUCCCUCUGUUGUCA
Non-coding RNA from Crepidotus variabilis, 104 nucleotides. The record is from the annotation of a GenBank genome assembly. NCBI's taxonomy places the organism in Eukaryota, Fungi, Basidiomycota, Agaricomycetes, Agaricales, Crepidotaceae.